AAUUUAUGACCCAGGCACAAACUUGGUGGCAUAGACCCAUGCAUUGUUGGCCACAGGGUUGUCAAGGUGGUCCAAGAGGUUCUCAAGAGGACCCUUCCCAGUGACAAUGGCUUGGACAAAGAAGCCAAACAUGGAGAACAUGGCUAGUCUCCCAUUCUUGAUUUCCUUGACCUUGAGCUCAGCAAAUGUCACAGGGUCAUCGGCAAGGCCGAGAGGGUCGAAGUAUUGCCCUCCAGGGUAGAGGUUGUUGCCCUCUCCUACGCCGUCAAGACCGUUGAUGCGAAAUCCCUCAACAAGCCCCAUGAGAAUGACUUGGAAUCCUAGCACUGCUAGGAUGCUCUGAGCAUGGACAAGGUUAGGGUUGCCUAAAUAGUCAAGGCCACCUUCUGAGAAAAUUUGAGCUCCGGCCUUGAACCACAC
This 420-nucleotide long non-coding RNA is filed under the name Prunus persica (peach). RNAcentral describes it as "long non-coding RNA (PPER_LNC004183)". Lineage: Eukaryota; Viridiplantae; Streptophyta; Magnoliopsida; Rosales; Rosaceae. The record is from RNAcentral.